AUUGAACGCUGGCGGCAGGCUUAACACAUGCAAGUCGAGCGGUAACAGAGAGAAGCUUGCUUCUCUGCUGACGAGCGGCGGACGGGUGAGUAAUGCCUAGGAAUCUGCCUAGUAGUGGGGGAUAACUUGCCGAAAGGUAAGCUAAUACCGCAUACGUCCUACGGGAGAAAGGAGGGGACCUUCGGGCCUUUCGCUAUUAGAUGAGCCUAGGUCGGAUUAGUUAGUUGGUGAGGUAAUGGCUCACCAAGACCGCGAUCCGUAACUGGUCUGAGGGGAUGAUCAGUCACACUGGAACUGAGAAGCGGUCCAGACUCCUACGGGAGGCAGCAGUGGGGAAUAUUGGACAAUGGGAGGAACCCUGAGCCAGCCAUGCCGCGUGUGUGAAGAAGGGCUUAGGAUUGUAAAGCACUUUAAGUUGGGAGGAAGAGCAGUUAACUAAUAUUUGACUGUUUUGACGUUACCGACAGAAUAAGCACCGGCUAACUUCGUGCCAGCCGCCGCGGUAA
This 506-nucleotide ribosomal RNA is filed under the name uncultured bacterium. RNAcentral's name for it is "partial 16S ribosomal RNA". It matches the Rfam family "Bacterial small subunit ribosomal RNA", at positions 30 to 523 of the family's 1533-position model. The record is from RNAcentral.